UCCGGGUAUCAAGUUGAUAAGUAAUCGUGUGUCUCUCAUUUUGUUAUCUCGUUAUGCUCAAGUUGAUUUUUGGCGAUGCAAAUCAUGGAAGUUUUGAGGUAAUUGGUGGGGUGUUGUAGUUUUGUGGAUGAUUAGGUAAUGGGAUUUUGUGUGUUAUUGUUGUCGUGCGCAAGCUGAUUUGCUGCGAUGCAAAUGGAUGGGUUGUGGAAGUUUUGGUGUGAUUAUUGGGUUAUUAUUGAUCUGGAGUUGGUAAGUAACGGGAUGCUUCGCACUUUUUCGCACUAUUUAGUCAGGUGCAGGCUGAUCUUCAGCUUUGUAAAUGAUUCAGUAUUUUUCCUGCCAAAGAGGACUAUGUAUGCUUCGUUGCUGAUUGUAGAACAGAAGCAACAGAUAUGCAUCAGAUUAACCAAGUCCUCGUUAGUGUUAAUGAGGAUGUCUAGGAGUACGGCAUAUGAAGUGAUUGCAGGACUGCAAACAGUUCUGCAUGGCUCAUAGCUAAUGAGGCUUCGAAUUGCAGACCCAGAUGUUUCAUCAAUAACAACCAUUUUCUGAAUUUUAUAUCCAAGAUUCUACCUGACCCCCUCCUCCUGGAUUUGAUGCUGGCAUCUACAAGAUGUGUGGCAGAAGGAGUAACAAGCUGCCCUUGGUAAAAAACUUUCUUCUUCCAUUUCUUCAGCGCAGUCAAUUAACCAGGUUCUUUAAGAGGUCUAGCAAGUGCUUUUUUCCUCGGCUAGGUAGAUCUUCUGGGAGUGGAUGGUACGAAGAUAUGUGGGGUUAGAGAUGAAGGGUACAAGGUUGAUUAUAAAAAUUAUAUAAAAAUGGUCGGCUAGCCAUUUCCUUUCAAUAUAAAAAUUAUAUAUUUUUUUUUCAUACGAGAAUAUGUUUAUAAACAUGGUCCCCUGAACUAUUGAUUGAAAUGUAAUUAAUCCUUGAAUAAAUUAUUGAACGCAAUUAGUUCUUAAACAAA
Long non-coding RNA from Populus euphratica (Euphrates poplar), 967 nucleotides. RefSeq lists it as uncharacterized. NCBI's taxonomy places the organism in Eukaryota, Viridiplantae, Streptophyta, Magnoliopsida, Malpighiales, Salicaceae. The transcript has 2 exons. The record is from RefSeq and is a predicted model, not a curated record.